GAUGAACGCUGGCGGCGUGCCUAAUACAUGCAAGUCGAGCGAACAGACGAGGAGCUUGCUCCUCUGACGUUAGCGGCGGACGGGUGAGUAACACGUGGAUAACCUACCUAUAAGACUGGGAUAACUUCGGGAAACCGGAGCUAAUACCGGAUAAUAUAUUGAACCGCAUGGUUCAAUAGUGAAAGACGGUUUUGCUGUCACUUAUAGAUGGAUCCGCGCCGCAUUAGCUAGUUGGUAAGGUAACGGCUUACCAAGGCAACGAUGCGUAGCCGACCUGAGAGGGUGGUCGGCCACACUGGAACUGAGACACGGUCCAGACUCCUACGGGAGGCAGCAGUAGGGAAUCUUCCGCAAUGGGCGAAAGCUUGACGGAGCAACGCCGCGUGAGUGAUGAAGGUCUUCGGAUCGUAAAACUCUGUUAUUAGGGAAGAACAAAUGUGUAAGUAACUGUGCACGUCUUGACGGUACCUGAUCAGAAAGCCACGGCUAACUACGUG
This 497-nucleotide ribosomal RNA is filed under the name uncultured bacterium. Its description in RNAcentral is "partial 16S ribosomal RNA". It matches the Rfam family "Bacterial small subunit ribosomal RNA", at positions 28 to 507 of the family's 1533-position model. The record is from RNAcentral.